UAUUGGACAAUGGGCGCAAGCCUGAUCCAGCCAUACCGCGUGGGUGAAGAAGGCCUUCGGGUUGUAAAGCCCUUUUGUUGGGAAAGAAAAGCAGCCGGUUAAUACCCGGUUGUUCUGACGGUACCCAAAGAAUAAGCACCGGCUAACUUCGUGCCAGCAGCCGCGGUAAUACGAAGGGUGCAAGCGUUACUCGGAAUUACUGGGCGUAAAGCGUGCGUAGGUGGUUGUUUAAGUCUGUCGUGAAAGCCCUGGGCUCAACCUGGGAAUUGCGAUGGAAACUGGGCGACUAGAGUGUGGCAGAGGGUAGUGGAAUUCCUGGUGUAGCAGUGAAAUGCGUAGAGAUCAGGAGGAACAUCCGUGGCGAAGGCGACUGCCUGGGCCAACACUGACACUGAGGCACGAAAGCGUGGGGAGCAAACAGGAUUAGAUACCCUGGUAGUCCACGCCCUAAACGAUGCGAACUGGAUGUUGGGUGCAAUUUG
RNAcentral lists this ribosomal RNA (482 nucleotides) under Stenotrophomonas acidaminiphila. RNAcentral describes it as "bacterial SSU rRNA". It matches the Rfam family "Bacterial small subunit ribosomal RNA", at positions 362 to 836 of the family's 1533-position model. The record is from RNAcentral. Lineage: Bacteria; Pseudomonadati; Pseudomonadota; Gammaproteobacteria; Lysobacterales; Lysobacteraceae.